This 253-nucleotide ribosomal RNA is filed under the name uncultured bacterium. RNAcentral describes it as "partial 16S ribosomal RNA". It matches the Rfam family "Bacterial small subunit ribosomal RNA", at positions 524 to 776 of the family's 1533-position model. The record is from RNAcentral.
UACGAAGGGGGCUAGCGUUAUCCGGAUUUAUUGGGUUUAAAGGGUGCGUAGGCGGAUGUGUAAGUCAGUGGUGAAAUCCUGCAGCUUAACUGCAGAAUUGCCAUUGAUACUGCAUAUCUUGAGUACAGUUGAUGUGGGCGGAAUGUGCGGUGUAGUGGUGAAAUACUUAGAUAUCGCACAGAACACCAAUUGCGAAGGCAGCUCACAAAACUGCAACUGACGCUGAGGCACGAAAGCGCGGGGAGCAAACAGG